This 610-nucleotide ribosomal RNA is filed under the name Marinobacter sp. Its description in RNAcentral is "bacterial SSU rRNA". It matches the Rfam family "Bacterial small subunit ribosomal RNA", at positions 38 to 641 of the family's 1533-position model. Lineage: Bacteria; Pseudomonadati; Pseudomonadota; Gammaproteobacteria; Pseudomonadales; Marinobacteraceae. The record is from RNAcentral.
GGAUGCGCAGCUUACCAUGCAGUCGAGCGGUAACAGGGGGUGCUUGCACCCCGCUGACGAGCGGCGGACGGGUGAGUAAUGCAUAGGAAUCUGCCCAGUAGUGGGGGAUAGCCCGGGGAAACCCGGAUUAAUACCGCAUACGCCCUUUGGGGGAAAGCAGGGGAUCUUCGGACCUUGCGCUAUUGGAUGAGCCUAUGUCGGAUUAGCUAGUUGGUGGGGUAAAGGCCUACCAAGGCGACGAUCCGUAGCUGGUCUGAGAGGAUGAUCAGCCACAUCGGGACUGAGACACGGCCCGAACUCCUACGGGAGGCAGCAGUGGGGAAUAUUGGACAAUGGGGGCAACCCUGAUCCAGCCAUGCCGCGUGUGUGAAGAAGGCUUUCGGGUUGUAAAGCACUUUCAGUGAGGAGGAAAACCUUCUGGUUAAUACCCAUGAGGCUUGACGUUACUCACAGAAGAAGCACCGGCUAACUCCGUGCCAGCAGCCGCGGUAAUACGGAGGGUGCAAGCGUUAAUCGGAAUUACUGGGCGUAAAGCGCGCGUAGGUGGUUUGAUAAGCGAGAUGUGAAAGCCCCGGGCUUAACCUGGGAACGGCAUUUCGAACUGUCAGGC